CUGCAGAAGAAGCACCGGCUAACUCCGUGCCAGCAGCCGCGGUAAUACGGAGGGUGCGAGCGUUAAUCGGAAUUACUGGGCGUAAAGCGCAUGCAGGUGGUUUUGUUAAGUCAGAUGUGAAAGCCCGGGGCUCAACCUCGGAAUUGCAUUUGAAACUGGCAAACUAGAGUACUGUAGAGGGGGUAGAAUUUCAGGUGUAGCGGUGAAAUGCGUAGAGAUCUGAAGGAAUACCGGUGGCGAAGGCGGCCCCCUGGACAGAUACUGACACUCAGAUGCGAAAGCGUGGGGAGCAAACAGGAUUAGAUACCCUGGUAG
This 315-nucleotide ribosomal RNA is filed under the name uncultured bacterium. RNAcentral describes it as "bacterial SSU rRNA". It matches the Rfam family "Bacterial small subunit ribosomal RNA", at positions 479 to 793 of the family's 1533-position model. The record is from RNAcentral.